ACGCUAGCUACAGGCUUAACACAUGCAAGUCGAGGGGUAGCAGGGUAGCAAUACCGCUGACGACCGGCGCACGGGUGAGUAACACGUAUCCAACCUUCCCAUAACUCGGGGAUAGCCUUUCGAAAGAAAGAUUAAUACCCGAUAGUACUUAAGAGAGGCAUCUUUUUUAAGUUAAAGAUUUAUUGGUUAUGGAUGGGGAUGCGUUCCAUUAGAUAGUUGGUGAGGUAACGGCUCACCAAGUCUUCGAUGGGUAGGGGUUCUGAGAGGAAGGUCCCCCACAUUGGUACUGAGACACGGACCAAACUCCUACGGGAGGCAGCAGUGAGGAAUAUUGGUCAAUGGGCGAGAGCCUGAACCAGCCAAGUAGCGUGAAGGAUGACGG
RNAcentral lists this ribosomal RNA (382 nucleotides) under uncultured Bacteroidales bacterium. RNAcentral describes it as "bacterial SSU rRNA". It matches the Rfam family "Bacterial small subunit ribosomal RNA", at positions 33 to 414 of the family's 1533-position model. The record is from RNAcentral. Lineage: Bacteria; Pseudomonadati; Bacteroidota; Bacteroidia; Bacteroidales.